This is a non-coding RNA of Cinara cedri, 1038 nucleotides long. The record is from the annotation of a GenBank genome assembly. Lineage: Eukaryota; Metazoa; Arthropoda; Insecta; Hemiptera; Aphididae.
GUACUUCCCCUUUUUACCCCACAGGUAAUCCGGAAAUCGACAAAAAAACGUACAUAAAAAGUUACCGGUUUUUUCUAUUUAUCGAAAAAAAAAAACACAAGAACGUGUCAAAAUAUGACCUCCCCAAAGAUGCGCCGAGUAAUCAAAAAUGCUAAAAUAAAGGUCCUAUAACGGUUUUGAUUUGAUCGAGACUUCUGAUAAAAAAAAAAUUGUUGACGCAAAAAGAAAACGCGCCAUAGUAAAACAUUCCUGCGCAUCGCAAAAUGUUUUUAAAACUUUUUUACGACACACACAUAGUAUAAUAUUAUAAUACCAUAUUAGAAUAAUAUCGUAUAACGAGUAAACCAAAACCGUAUUAGUUCGUAAUUUCAGACGAGUCGAGUUGAUAUUCUAUAAUAAAAUUAUUAUAAUAUACUCAAUAUAGUAUAAAUUUACAAGUUUGAAAAUAUACAUUCUCAUUUUAACGUUUAGGUAUGUUUGGCACUCGACUUGAAAUCAUUCCUCGCCUUAGGCCUUAAACAUAAUAUAUAGUAUAUAUGUAUAUUGAAAUACUGACUUGAUGACCUGUAUACAAUAUUUAUAAGCCUAUAAUAUUCUCGCGAUAUUGGCUUUCACCGAAACAGCAUUUAAUAUAAUGUUAUAAUCACGUGACUUGUCAUAUUUCUACGCACAAUCUGUAUAUUACGCAUCUAUCUAUACACCGUUGUAAUGAUAAAAAAACGAAUUUCAUAAAGAAAAAAAAAUACUAAAAUAUUAUCGCGAGUCGGACAUCGACUGAUUGCUUAUACAUUAUCAUUUUAAUUUUCAAAAAAAUAUAUAUGUACUCUUUUAUUUAUUUAUUUUUUCAUCAUACCAACCUUAUAGAACUUAUAGUUAUAAAGACGCAAUUCAUUAGUCAUUAAUGUGUCCCUUGUUAAAGGUUAAAAAUCAAAUUUCGUUAUUUUUUCUGCAUCACCCUAUUAAAAGCGGUUAAUAUAUAAAAUAUUGAUAUGAACAACUUCGAAAGAAAAAUACGAUUAUAUUUUAAGUUUGAGUCCA